AUGGGUGCAGGAGGACUCCUCGUUGGUUUAAUUCCAGGCCUGGUCAUCUGUUGCUGCAUUCCCAACUAUUGUAACUGCACCCCCUUUGCAAAGCAGACUGAAGACAAACCACCGUCCCAAAAGAAAUCGACCAAAAUGUCCUCAAGCAAACAGAGGACCUCAAACGUGGACCCACUGAAACCUUCCAGUUUUCCCAUCAUAGAGAAUGCUGCAAGCCAUUCGGAAGGGGUCAAAAUUGCUAGAGGGCCAUUCUGUGGCUGCUUCUGUGGAACCUGUAGAGCACAAGAUUUGGGAGAGGCCAAAUCUUUCCUCAAGAGGCCGGUGGUUGCCUUUUUAUCGACGGAUCCUGUGGGUAAAACCGUUGUGACUCUCCAUGAGAAAGGAGACAACCUAUCUUGCUGCCUGGCACACAGAGGAUGUAUCAACAGGGUGAAUGACGCCUCUAGAUCUACCAAAGCCCAUGGCAGUCAGGAGCAAUCAUUUGCAAAGAGGGGUGCAGGAUCCUGCUGCCCGUGCAUCCAGCAUGCAACUUUACAUCAGAUGGAGUGGAAGAAACAUGAGUUGAGGGAAGGAGUCAAUCACCAGUUGGAUGGACAGAUAUCACACCCAGAGACUCAGCUUGGUGGUGUUCAGGACUCCGAAGCUCUGGUCCAUAUAGAUUUUCCAGAUGGAAGUGCCCUCAAGAGGGAGAGAGACUCUUCCAUGUUUUACAAGACCCCUUCCGAGAGAAAAGAGUUGGCUCAGAGUGGAUUGAACUCUACUACCCAUAGUUGGCUGGCAACAAAGAAGAAGAACAUGUCAAUGUCUGGAAGACCUAGUCAUCACUACCAGGGUGGUAGUGGCACAUCUCGUAGAUGCAGAAAAGCCUCUGGAGAGAAACUGUAUGGAGAACGCUUCACAGAGGGAAGCCAUUCUAAGCACCCAACCAGAAAUGGACAGUCAUCUUGGAAGACUGAUAUUUAUUCCAAAGGCUAUUCCUCCUUGCCAAGCAAGGGCAGAAUAAAACAGCAGAGGAAUCAACCAGGUGAUCUGCACACCCCUCCAUACUGUGGCAUGACUUCCACUUCUUGCCUUUCCAAUGUGCCCAGCCAGUCAGAGGAUUACAGCCCCAGGUCUCCAAAGGAUGCAUGUACUGAAAUGCUGUCCAUCACACAAUAUCCUGAGGAAGGAGGGAGCAACUCCCAAUGCUUGGAUACUACAACACAGGCCAGAACAAGAGUUCUUGAACAUAGAAAACCUGGGAUCCAGCAACAAGGCCCAGACAUUUCUUUGUCAAGGAAUGUACCCACCACCAAAAGAAUGUGGAAACAUAGAAGCGAUAGAGAGGAACCCAACCAGUAUUGGAUAGCUCAGAGGGGGCACACUCAACAGAGCACCACCCCUAGGACCUCCAGAAGGCUAGAUAAAGCCACCCAAUGGUCUUCCACUGACAAAGUCUACCUGAAAGAACAUGAAGCAGCCCUUGGUCUGCACCACAAUGCUGAGAGGUCGAAGUUGGAAGACGUCUGGCAACCAAUCUCUUUAUCAGCCCUUCACCCUUCCUGUGGAAUUCCUCAUCAUGGGCAGAGGGAAGGUGAUUUAGAGACUCCUUCUCCUCUGGCCCACACAACAGCACUUGCCACUGUCUUCCCGCCGACUAAGAACACCACGCAAUUGAUUCUAAAAGGUCAGGAUAGGAGCCUGGGGGUUGUGGGGACAUUAGAAGCUAAGAUGGUGGUUGACCACAGAGUGGACAUGUACCCUCCAAGGGGUGUGAGCCUCAGAACCUUGAGUGAAGAAAUCCUGGAUGCAGAAGCACCUUUAGAGUCUUUUGCCAUUGGCACUGCCAAUCCAUGUUUUGCAGAAGGUAAAGAGGAUGGUGUUGGCUCAUCUUCCAAAGCAACAGAUCUGAAUUCCUGCUAUGACACUCCUAUCGGCCUCCUCUUCACGAUAGAUGAGAAUCUGUGGCUGCUGGAGCUUCCUACGUCUGAUAAGAGCUGCAGCAACAUGAUUUAUUCAAGCUUUCAAGGGGGUGGAUAUGAAGAGGCCGAAACUGUCACAUCAAGCUGCCCUUUGGUUCAGAAAAUGUGCCAGAUCAAUUUCCCCCUUCUGGCUGAAGAGGAAAACACAAGCUUGCCAGGUGAGCAUACGGAGGCUGACUCAGCUGAUAUGAGGGAAGACUAUGUGGUUGCCUAUGAAAGCCCUUCAGGAAAUGUUGGGGAGCAAGAAGGCUGCUUAAAGACUGAACUUGAUGCCAAGUCUAAGAAGUAG
This 2250-nucleotide long non-coding RNA is filed under the name Podarcis muralis (Common wall lizard). RNAcentral's name for it is "lncRNA (ENSPMRG00000023702.1)". Lineage: Eukaryota; Metazoa; Chordata; Lepidosauria; Squamata; Lacertidae. The record is from RNAcentral.